GGUCAAGCUACAAAGGGCGCAUGGUGAAUGCCUUGGCACUAGGAGCCGAAGAAGGACGCGAUAAGCUGCGAUAAGCCUUGGGUAGCCGCAAAUAGGCUGAGAUCCAGGGAUUUCCGAAUGAGGAAACUCACAUGGGUAACCCCAUGUAUCAUGCACUGAAUACAUAGGUGUAUGAGGGUAAACCCGGGGAACUGAAACAUCUAAGUACCCGGAGGAAGAGAAAGAAAAAUCGAUUUCCUAAGUAGCGGCGAGCGAACGGGAAAGAGCCCAAACCAGAAACUUGUUUCUGGGGUUGUGGAUAGAUCAUAAAAGAAGAGGUAUCUUAAUCGAAGAGGGCUGGAACGCCCUACCAUAGAAGGUAAUAGUCCUGUAGAUAAAAAGAGAAAACUUCGAGAUCUAAUCCAGAGUACCACGAGACACGUGAAACCUUGUGGGAAGCAGGGAGGACCACCUCCCAAGGCUAAAUACUACCUAGUGACCGAUAGUGAAGCAGUACCGUGAGGGAAAGGUGAAAAGAACCCCGGAAGGGGAGUGAAAUAGAACCUGAAACCGUGUGCCUACAACCGAUCGGAGCACGUUAAAGUGUGACGAUGUGCUUUUUGUAGAACGAGCCAGCGAGUUACGCUAUGUAGCAAGGUUAAGUACUUAAGGUAUGGAGCCGAAGGGA
This 667-nucleotide ribosomal RNA is filed under the name Clostridium botulinum. RNAcentral's name for it is "partial 23S ribosomal RNA". It matches the Rfam family "Bacterial large subunit ribosomal RNA", at positions 1 to 674 of the family's 2925-position model. Lineage: Bacteria; Bacillati; Bacillota; Clostridia; Eubacteriales; Clostridiaceae. The record is from RNAcentral.